RNAcentral lists this ribosomal RNA (500 nucleotides) under uncultured Glomeromycotina. Its description in RNAcentral is "partial small subunit ribosomal RNA". It matches the Rfam family "Eukaryotic small subunit ribosomal RNA", at positions 591 to 1092 of the family's 1831-position model. Lineage: Eukaryota; Fungi; Glomeromycota. The record is from RNAcentral.
CCAAUAGCGUAUAUUAAAGUUGUCGCAGUUAAAAAGCUCGUAGUUGAAUUUCGGGAUCAUCAGGUUGGUCGUGCCUCUGGUAUGUACUGAUUUCGAUGGUUCCUCCUUCUUGAAGAACCGUAAUGCCAUUAAUUUGGUGUUGCGGGGAAACAGGACUGUUACUUUGAAAAAAUUAGAGUGUUUAAAGCAGGCAAUCGCUUGAAUACAUUAGCAUGGAAUAAUGAAAUAGGACGUUCGAUCCUAUUUUGUUGGUUUCUAGGAUUGACGUAAUGAUUAAUAGGGAUAGUUGGGGGCAUUAGUAUUCAAUUGUCAGAGGUGAAAUUCUUGGAUUUAUUGAAGACUAACUACUGCGAAAGCAUUUGCCAAGGAUGUUUUCAUUAAUCAAGAACGAAAGUUAGGGGAUCGAAGACGAUCAGAUACCGUCGUAGUCUUAACCAUAAACUAUGCCGACUAGGGAUCGGAUGAUGUUAAUUUUUUAAUGACUCAUUCGGCGCCUUACG